CCCUUAGAUGUUCUGGGCCGCACGCGUGCUACACUGAGUGGAUCAGCGGGUCAGGUUGCGCGAAAGCGUUUCCUAAUCUUUAAAUCCGCUCGUGAUGGGGAUUGACGGUUGCAAUUUUCUGUCAUGAACGAGGAAUUCCUAGUAAGCGCGAGUCAUCAGCUCGCGCUGAUUACGUCCCUGCCCUUUGUACACACCGCCCGUCGCUACUACCGAUUGAAUGGUUUAGUGAGGCCUUCUGACUGGCGCCGCUACUCUGGCAACAGAACGGCGGAUGCCGGGAAGUUGGUCAAACUUGAUCAUUUAGAGGAAGUAAAAGUCGUAACA
RNAcentral lists this ribosomal RNA (324 nucleotides) under uncultured eukaryote. RNAcentral describes it as "partial 18S ribosomal RNA". It matches the Rfam family "Eukaryotic small subunit ribosomal RNA", at positions 1470 to 1796 of the family's 1831-position model. The record is from RNAcentral.